AUUGAACGCUGGCGGCAUGCCUUACACAUGCAAGUCGAACGGCAGCGGGGGAGAAGCUUGCUUUUCCUGCCGGCGAGUGGCGAACGGGUGAGUAAUACAUCGGAACGUGCCCUGUAGUGGGGGAUAACUAGUCGAAAGAUUAGCUAAUACCGCAUACGACCUGAGGGUGAAGGUGGGGGACCGCAAGGCCUCUUGCUAUAGGAGCGGCCGAUGUCUGAUUAGCUAGGUGGUGGGCUAAAGGCCUACCAAGGCGACGAUCAGUAGCUGGUCUGGAAGGACUAUCAGCCACACUGGGACUGAGAAACGGCCCAGACUCCUACGGGAGGCAGCAGUGGGGAAUUUUGGACAAUGGGCGAAAGCCUGAUCCAGCAAUGCCGCGUGUGUGAAGAAGGCCUUCGGGUUGUAAAGCACUUUUGUCCGGAAAGAAAUGGCUCUGGUUAAUACCUGGGGUCGAUGACGGUACCGGAAGAAUAAGGACCGGCUAACUACGUGCCAGCCGCCGCGGUAA
This 508-nucleotide ribosomal RNA is filed under the name uncultured bacterium. RNAcentral's name for it is "partial 16S ribosomal RNA". It matches the Rfam family "Bacterial small subunit ribosomal RNA", at positions 30 to 523 of the family's 1533-position model. The record is from RNAcentral.